UACGGAAGGUCCGGGCGUUAUCCGGAUUUAUUGGGUUUAAAGGGAGCGUAGGCCGGAGAUUAAGCGUGUUGUGAAAUGUAGAUGCUCAACAUCUGAACUGCAGCGCGAACUGGUUUUCUUGAGUACGCACAAAGUGGGCGGAAUUCGUGGUGUAGCGGUGAAAUGCUUAGAUAUCACGAAGAACUCCGAUUGCGAAGGCAGCUCACUGGAGCGCAACUGACGCUGAAGCUCGAAAGUGCGGGUAUCGAACAGG
This 253-nucleotide ribosomal RNA is filed under the name Segatella copri DSM 18205. RNAcentral's name for it is "Prevotella copri DSM 18205 partial 16S ribosomal RNA". It matches the Rfam family "Bacterial small subunit ribosomal RNA", at positions 524 to 776 of the family's 1533-position model. The record is from RNAcentral. Lineage: Bacteria; Pseudomonadati; Bacteroidota; Bacteroidia; Bacteroidales; Prevotellaceae.